GCAUUGGUAGUUCAGUGGUAGAAUUCUCAUCUUAGCCUGAAAACACGAGACCCGGGUUUGAUUCCUGGUCAAUGCA
RNAcentral lists this transfer RNA (76 nucleotides) under Loxodonta africana (African savanna elephant). It matches the Rfam family "tRNA". From Rfam's summary of the family: Transfer RNA (tRNA) molecules are approximately 80 nucleotides in length. Their secondary structure includes four short double-helical elements and three loops (D, anti-codon, and T loops). Further hydrogen bonds mediate the characteristic L-shaped molecular structure. tRNAs have two regions of fundamental functional importance: the anti-codon, which is responsible for specific mRNA codon recognition, and the 3' end, to which the tRNAs corresponding amino acid is attached (by aminoacyl-tRNA synthetases). tRNAs cope with the degeneracy of the genetic code in two manners: having more than one tRNA (with a specific anti-codon) for a particular amino acid; and 'wobble' base-pairing, i.e. permitting non-standard base-pairing at the 3rd anti-codon position. Lineage: Eukaryota; Metazoa; Chordata; Mammalia; Proboscidea; Elephantidae. The record is from Rfam by way of RNAcentral.